Molecule: ribosomal RNA, 253 nt
Filed under: uncultured Eubacteriales bacterium
Lineage: Bacteria; Bacillati; Bacillota; Clostridia; Eubacteriales
Description: uncultured Clostridiales bacterium partial 16S ribosomal RNA
Rfam family: Bacterial small subunit ribosomal RNA
Source: RNAcentral
UACGUAGGGGGCAAGCGUUAUCCGGAAUUACUGGGUGUAAAGGGAGCGUAGACGGUAAUGUAAGUCUGGAGUGAAAGGCGGGGGCCCAACCCCCGGACUGCUCUGGAAACUAUGUUACUGGAGUGCAGGAGAGGUAAGCGGAAUUCCUAGUGUAGCGGUGAAAUGCGUAGAUAUUAGGAGGAACACCAGUGGCGAAGGCGAGAACUUAGGCUAUCACUGACGCUUAGGCUCGAAAGUGUGGGGAGCAAAUAGG